AGUAACCUGCCUUGGAGUGGGGAAUAACAGUUGGAAACAACUGCUAAUACCGCAUGAUGCAGUUGGGUCGCAUGGCUCUGACUGCCAAAGAUUUAUCGCUCUGAGAUGGACUCGCGUCUGAUUAGCUAGUUGGUGAGGUAACGGCUCACCAAGGCGACGAUCAGUAGCCGGACUGAGAGGUUGGCCGGCCACAUUGGGACUGAGACACGGCCCAGACUCCUACGGAAGGCAGCAG
This 235-nucleotide ribosomal RNA is filed under the name uncultured bacterium. Its description in RNAcentral is "partial 16S ribosomal RNA". It matches the Rfam family "Bacterial small subunit ribosomal RNA", at positions 120 to 354 of the family's 1533-position model. The record is from RNAcentral.